Non-coding RNA from Dipodomys ordii (Ord's kangaroo rat), 61 nucleotides. The record is from Rfam. Lineage: Eukaryota; Metazoa; Chordata; Mammalia; Rodentia; Heteromyidae.
GGUGCUGUGGCUCAAGUGGUAGAGCACUUGCCUUGAGCUCAAGAGCUGAGGGUCAGCACCC